RNAcentral lists this ribosomal RNA (1286 nucleotides) under metagenome. Its description in RNAcentral is "bacterial SSU rRNA". It matches the Rfam family "Bacterial small subunit ribosomal RNA", at positions 242 to 1520 of the family's 1533-position model. The record is from RNAcentral.
UAGCUAGUUGGUGAGGUAACGGCUUACCAAGGCGACGAUCUGUAGCGGGCCUGAGAGGAUGAUCCGCCACACUGGAACUGAGACACGGUCCAGACUCCUACGGGAGGCAGCAGUGGGGAAUUUUGGACAAUGGGGGCAACCCUGAUCCAGCCAUGCCGCGUGAGUGAAGAAGGCCUUCGGGUUGUAAAGCUCUUUCGGCCGGGAAGAAAUCGCAUGGGCCAAUACCCUGUGUGGAUGACGGUACCGGAAUAAGAAGCACCGGCUAACUACGUGCCAGCAGCCGCGGUAAUACGUAGGGUGCGGGCGUUAAUCGGAAUUACUGGGCGUAAAGCGUGCGCAGGCGGUUUUGUAAGACAGGCGUGAAAUCCCCGGGCUCAACCUGGGAACUGCGUUUGUGACUGCAAGGCUAGAGUACGGCAGAGGGGGGUGGAAUUCCACGUUUAGCAGUGAAAUGCGUAGAGAUGUGGAGGAACACCAAUGGCGAAGGCAGCCCCCUGGGUCGAUACUGACGCUCAUGCACGAAAGCGUGGGUAGCAAACAGGAUUAGAUACCCUGGUAGUCCACGCCCUAAACUAUGUCAACUAGGUGUUGGGUGGGUAAAACCAUUUAGUACCGUAGCUAACGCGUGAAGUUGACCGCCUGGGGAGUACGGCCGCAAGGUUAAAACUCAAAGGAAUUGACGGGGACCCGCACAAGCGGUGGAUGAUGUGGAUUAAUUCGAUGCAACGCGAAAAACCUUACCUACCCUUGACAUGCCAGGAACUUGCCAGAGAUGGCUUGGUGCCCGAAAGGGAGCCUGGACACAGGUGCUGCAUGGCUGUCGUCAGCUCGUGUCGUGAGAUGUUGGGUUAAGUCCCGCAACGAGCGCAACCCUUGUCGUUAAUUGCCAUCAUUUAGUUGGGCACUUUAGCGAGACUGCCGGUGACAAACCGGAGGAAGGUGGGGAUGACGUCAAGUCCUCAUGGCCCUUAUGGGUAGGGCUUCACACGUCAUACAAUGGUCGGUACAGAGGGUCGCCAAGCCGCGAGGUGGAGCCAAUCCCAGAAAGCCGAUCGUAGUCCGGAUUGCAGGCUGCAACUCGCCUGCAUGAAGUCGGAAUCGCUAGUAAUCGUGGAUCAGCAUGUCACGGUGAAUACGUUCCCGGGUCUUGUACACACCGCCCGUCACACCAUGGGAGCGGGUUCCGCCAGAAGUAGGUAGCCUAACCGCAAGGAGGGCGCUUACCACGGCGGGGUUCGUGACUGGGGUGAAGUCGUAACAAGGUAGCCGUAGGGGACCUGCGGCUG